GAUGAACGCUGGCGGCGUGCCUAAUACAUGCAAGUCGAGCGAACGGACGAGAAGCUUGCUUCUCUGAUGUUAGCGGCGGACGGGUGAGUAACACGUGGAUAACCUACCUAUAAGACUGGGAUAACUUCGGGAAACCGGAGCUAAUACCGGAUAAUAUUUUGAACCGCAUGGUUCAAAAGUGAAAGACGGUCUUGCUGUCACUUAUAGAUGGAUCCGCGCUGCAUUAGCUAGUUGGUAAGGUAACGGCUUACCAAGGCAACGAUGCAUAGCCGACCUGAGAGGGUGAUCGGCCACACUGGAACUGAGACACGGUCCAGACUCCUACGGGAGGCGGCAGUAGGGAAUCUUCCGCAGUGGGCGAAAGCCUGACGGAGCAACGCCGCGUGAGUGAUGAAGGUCUUCGGAUCGUAAAACUCUGUUAUUAGGGAAGAACAUAUGUGUAAGUAACUGUGCACAUCUUGACGGUACCUAAUCAGAAAGCCACGGCUAACUACGUG
RNAcentral lists this ribosomal RNA (497 nucleotides) under uncultured bacterium. RNAcentral describes it as "partial 16S ribosomal RNA". It matches the Rfam family "Bacterial small subunit ribosomal RNA", at positions 28 to 507 of the family's 1533-position model. The record is from RNAcentral.